GUGAUCCUCAUAUCUCAGCCUCCUGAGUAGCUAGGAUUACAGGUGUGACCCACCAGUGCCUAGUAAGAUAAUCAAUCUCAAUGCCUAUGAAUUUCUUCCCUCACCUAAGUGUAUGGUACCCUAAAAACAAGGCUACCUAUGUGUUUGGGGACAAGCAGUAGGGAAAAUACUUCAAGUGAGUGGACCUGGAACUAGAUUUGGACUGGGCUUUGAAUUUAGAAAAGUCUUAAACCACACUUCUAAGUCAAUUGGUAAUUAUGGGUAAAUCAAAAUAUCCAAACAUACAUACUCUCAUACAAAGUCAUUAAAACUCACUAGUAAAAACAUUUAAAGUGAAUGAAAGGAGGGAAAAA
Long non-coding RNA from Dipodomys spectabilis (banner-tailed kangaroo rat), 353 nucleotides. RefSeq lists it as uncharacterized. Lineage: Eukaryota; Metazoa; Chordata; Mammalia; Rodentia; Heteromyidae. The transcript is spliced from 2 exons. The record is from RefSeq and is a predicted model, not a curated record.